This 661-nucleotide ribosomal RNA is filed under the name uncultured Flavobacteriia bacterium. RNAcentral's name for it is "bacterial SSU rRNA". It matches the Rfam family "Bacterial small subunit ribosomal RNA", at positions 505 to 1171 of the family's 1533-position model. The record is from RNAcentral. Lineage: Bacteria; Pseudomonadati; Bacteroidota; Flavobacteriia.
GUGCCAGCCGCCGCGGUAAUACGGAGGAUCCAAGCGUUAUCCGGAAUCAUUGGGUUUAAAGGGUCCGUAGGCGGUCAGGUAAGUCAGUGGUGAAAGCCCAUCGCUCAACGGUGGAACGGCCAUUGAUACUGUCUGACUUGAAUUAUUAGGAAGUAACUAGAAUAUGUAGUGUAGCGGUGAAAUGCCUAGAGAUUACAUGGAAUACCAAUUGCGAAGGCAGGUUACUACUAAUGGAUUGACGCUGAUGGACGAAAGCGUGGGUAGCGAACAGGAUUAGAUACCCUGGUAGUCCACGCCGUAAACGAUGGAUACUAGCUGUUGGGAGCAAUCUCAGUGGCUAAGCGAAAGUGAUAAGUAUCCCACCUGGGGAGUACGUUCGCAAGAAUGAAACUCAAAGGAAUUGACGGGGGCCCGCACAAGCGGUGGAGCAUGUGGUUUAAUUCGAUGAUACGCGAGGAACCUUACCAAGGCUUAAAUGUGCGCUGACUGCUGAAGAAAUUUGGCUUUCCGCAAGGACAGCGUACAAGGUGCUGCAUGGUUGUCGUCAGCUCGUGCCGUGAGGUGUCGGGUUAAGUCCCAUAACGAGCGCAACCCUUAUGAUUAGUUGCUAACAGGUCAAGCUGAGGACUCUAGUCAGACUGCCACCGUAAGGUGUGAGGAA